AUGGAGAGGAGGCACCUAUCAUGGAGAACUCUUAGAGAUCUACACCAUCAAUCUUCUAUCCCUUGGCUUGUUGCUGGUGAUUUUAACGAGAUCUUGUACUCUCAUGAAAAGGAGGGUGGUAACCUGAGACCGGUUAAAAUGAUGGAGGACUUCAGGGAGGUACUCGCUGAUUGUGGUUUAGAGGAUGGUUAUUCUGGAGAUUUAUUCACUUGGCGCAGAGGUCGUAUCAAGGAGCGUCUUGAUCGUGCUGUAGGGAACGGAUUGUGGCAAUGUCUAUUUCCUGCAGCUACUGUAACAAAUGGAGACCAUAGUAAAUCAGACCAUCGUCCGCUUAUA
This 336-nucleotide ribosomal RNA is filed under the name Triticum aestivum (bread wheat). Its description in RNAcentral is "partial small subunit ribosomal RNA". Lineage: Eukaryota; Viridiplantae; Streptophyta; Magnoliopsida; Poales; Poaceae. The record is from RNAcentral.